AUUAAACGCUGGCGGCAUGCCUUACACAUGCAAGUCGAACGGCAGCACGGGUGCUUGCACCUGGUGGCGAGUGGCGAACGGGUGAGUAAUACAUCGGAACGUACCUUAUCGUGGGGGAUAACGCAGCGAAAGCUGUGCUAAUACCGCAUACGCCAUGAGGGGGAAAGCGGGGGAUCGAAAGACCUCGCGCGAUUAGAGCGGCCGAUGCCUGAUUAGCUUGUUGGAGGGGUAAAAGCACACCAAGGCGACGAUCAGUAGCUGGUCUGAGAGGACGAUGAGCCAGGCUGGGGCGGAGACAGGACCCAGAGUCCUACGGGAGGCAGCAGUGAGGAAUUGUGGACAAUGGGGGCAACGCUGAUCCAGCAAGGCCGCGUGAGGGAAAAAGGCCUUCGGGUUGUAAAGCUCUUUUGUCAGGGAAAAAACACCGGCUCUAACACUGUCCGGGAAUGACGGUACCGGAAGAAUAAGCACCGGCUAACUACGUGCCAGCCGCCGCCGUAA
RNAcentral lists this ribosomal RNA (501 nucleotides) under uncultured bacterium. RNAcentral describes it as "partial 16S ribosomal RNA". It matches the Rfam family "Bacterial small subunit ribosomal RNA", at positions 29 to 523 of the family's 1533-position model. The record is from RNAcentral.